This is a long non-coding RNA of Equus caballus (horse), 10811 nucleotides long. NCBI's taxonomy places the organism in Eukaryota, Metazoa, Chordata, Mammalia, Perissodactyla, Equidae. The record is from Ensembl.
UUUUAAGGCACAAUUUGGAUGGUUUAGAUUUUAAUUCAUUUGCUUUCACUUAGGAAAAUAAUAGUACAUUGUUUUUUCUUUUGCUGACUACUAGGUAAAUACAACGGCAUCUAAUGUACAAUGAGCUGGGUUUGUUACUAGUUAAUCGAGAAUUUUACUAGGGGUCCCUGUAGAACUGUAUUUGCUACCUCAUUAUAAUGAGCUGAAGCUUGUAGAAAUUCCCCUACAGAAAUCUCUUAGUGGAUUAAUAGGAGCCCUGACUUCAUUCAGAAUUUGUAGGUUUCUUUCCUCCCAAGUUAGACACUAAAACUGUCGCCUGGAUCACAAAUCCCAGUACACUAUUUACUCUCCACUGGGUCUUUGUAUAUCUGAGUGAACUUCAAAACGCAAAAUCAAAAGCCUUCCCAGGACAUCUGAUGGAAACACAUUAGCUCCACCUCCUCCUUGUGGACAACUCCACUAUUUUCUUUUCUGAUCUCUCAUGCAUGCAUGCAGAAAAUUCUUUAUUUCCUGAAUAAAAUAAGUUUCCUUGAAUGUAAGACAAAUGGUGAUGCUCUUUCUUUUUUUUCUAACUUGUUUUUUUAGGUGUGAUAGUCCAAUUCCUAGACAAGGGAGUUUUAAAUGAAAAAUGAAAUUCUAAAUCCUACUCAUACUUAUAAAAAAAAUAAAGGAAUCAAAUGGUAUCUGUGGUAAACAUUGGCUGAAUAACCUUCACAGAACAUGCAAAAAAAAUGCUUCAAUUAAACUUGAGACUACGUCAUCUGAUGACAAACUAUGCUGUUAUCCAUUUCAAAAUCUAUUCAAAAUCAGAAAGAUUGAACAAAAUUUACAUUUAAAUCUACUCACUUUCUUCAUUAAUUCUCCUUUAUUCAGCUUUCUGAUUACUUAAAUGUGCACAUGAUAGAGCUAACCAGUCCAGAACUACACUGCUUUGCACACUCUAGCCUAUCUUUCUUUCCCAGGAAGGGUUUUAUUGAAGUCAUAGGAAUUUUGCCUAAAAAAGCUACCAGUAAUUUAACAUUUAUUGAAGGACUCCUGUCAUCACAGAUAUUCACUGAGAAUAGAACUCAAGAUGAAAAUAAAAAGAAGAAGAUGAUCAUGAUAAAGGAGAUAUUCCUGUCCUUCUGAAGGAACUCAUAAUCCACAAAAUAAAGUGCAUACAUGAACACAUGCACGCAAGCACGUACGUACACAGCUCUGGUUCCAUGUAAGCAGAAGAAUAUGGUGAAAACUGGAGAGUCAAAUAUUUAAGGACCAAGAGGACCUCUGAAAGUGGAGGGACCCGAUUUACAUCGGAGUUAAUCUGGAGAGCUUCUAGAAACAUAGUGAAAUGAAUAACUUUGCUUGUCACCAAAUAAAGGGGGGCCGAAGUCUGAUUAAACAAUUUUUGUUUCACAAGGGUUAUUUAACCAAUGAUUACCGGUACUUUACCAGAGUAUUUACUUAAGUUAAAACCUUAAAAAGUUGUUUUUAGAAGAGGUAAAAGGUUACAGGUUGUGGAGUCUCCAGGGCAACUGAAAGACACAAAAAGAGGUUUCCAGAGCAGAACCAGCAAGUCAAGAGCAAAAGGAAGUUGGAGCUCGUGAGAACGUGCUGUCUACACAGGACUGGUGAAGAGCAAGGCGGUUAAUUCCUCGAGGAUAAAUGACAGAAGAAGGAGGGACUUUUAAAGUCAGGUAGAAUUUCUCCAACGGGCCGUAGGGAAUUAUGGCUCUCGCCUGUGUUCACAUCGUGAUUACUCUCACUUUACAUAUUUCUUGCUUAAAUCAAUUUAAACCAGUCACCUAAACCGAAGAUUUAUAAGAAUAACAUGUACUGUAAUAUUACGUGUUCACCCUCUGCCUACAGGAUCUCAAAGCACGUCAAUCUAGCAGAAAAUAAGCAGUUAUGUGACAUAAUAUAGAAAAAAAACCCCAAGCACUAAUUUACAUUUUAAAUUUUCAUUCUCCUAUUAGUGAGUGUCAGUGUAUUGUCUAAGACUUCAGUAAUCUGAGGGCGACUCUGCCUUUAAACACACAGCAGAGGCAGGCCCUGUGGCCGGGUGCUUGGGUUUCCAUGCUCCACUUCCGGCGGCCCAGGGUUUCACCAGUUCGGAUCCUGGGCGCGGACAGGGCCCCACUCAUCAAGCCAUGCUGAGGCGGCAUCCCACCCAGCACAGCCAGAGGCACUCACAGCUAGAAUACACAACUAUGUCCUGGGGGUCUUUGGGGAGAAGAAAAGAAGAAAAGUAAAAAAGAAGAUUGGCAACAGUUGUUAGCUCAGGUGCCAAUCUUUAAAAAAUAAGUAAGUAAAUCAAUCAACCCAUCAAUCAAUCACACAGCAAACCAUUGAGGGGAACAGUGAACCCAGCAUGGACUCUGUUUCCAAUUAUUUACGUGACCAAGAAAAGCUGAACAUGACCACGUACCCAACGAAUGUGCUUUAUGUGUAGCUUUUCUGUCACUUGUAUUUGCACUUAUUAGGGACUCAGUAAGUAGUUUGUGAACUAAAGAGACUAAUUUGCCUCUUUACAAUGCGACUCGUCCUACGUGCAAAAAGAACCUCAGCGACACAUCAAUGAACCCAGAUAGUUAAUGGACGCGAGACUCCCCCUUCAAGUCAUACCAAGAGCAAAGGCAAAAGUUUUGAGUUGCAGGGCAGCCGAGUGAUCAACCCUUAGCUUAAACACACCUCUAUCUAUUGUGUUUGUUUCCAUUUCCAUUUAAAGGAGUAAUUCUGCAGUGACUAAACAGAUGAGCAAUAGGUCCCUUUCGUAAAAAUUAAAGAUUUAUAAGCAAAAACAUAAAUGGAUGUUGUUAGAAAUUUGAGAAUCUAAUUUACAAGUAUCCAAUAAAAAUUUUCAACUGUAAAACUGAGAUAUCCAUAUUGACUUUUAUUGUGUUGAUGCAAAAUUUUGUGGCGAGAGAUUAUUUACAACGUUAGGAAACAAUGCCAUUGCUGGAGAAAUUUUCUUGAGGUUGCAAGGUAGGUUAGUUAACACUUUGGCCAUGAAAGAAGUGUGUCCUUUAGCACUUGUCAUGCAGAGAAAAUAAAGGCUGAGCAGCUGAAAGUAACUGUCAUACCAAGAGCAGAUGCGAAUGCUCCAUUCAGCAUGCGCAACUCAAAUACUCUCAGCAAAAUGAGAGGGUUACUACUUUUGCCAGAUAAUGGAAGGUCUUCACCAACGGAGUACAAGGGCGGCUGGCAGCCAGCCUUGCCUGGCUCAGUGGAUGGAGUCGUUGAAGUUCUCACACUCAGUGGAUUUCUGGAGGAAGGCACGAGGGGAACUGCGGUGCUGUGAAAGUGAUGCUGUCUUUUCUGAAGAGGCGUUUUGCUGCUUUUAUCCCCUAGGUAGAGGCUGCUUCGAGUGAUGCUUGCAAAAGUCAUAUCACUAAGCAGGCUUUGAGUCCUUAGAUAAGACUGUAACCUUCGUGUGCCUUUCCUGGGCAUGGCAACUUGGCAUCUAUUUUCAGCUCUGUUAUCAAACAUCCAGCAGUAGACCAAUUUUUUCUGAGGGACAUCACAGCCCCGAGCAGGAAUAUAAAGACUUUAUAGCCUUCGCCUUCAGGAAGCUUACGAUCUACUUAGACGACACAUACAUCCGUAAAGAGACAAUAAUUCCCUCUUCUAGGCAGCACAUCAUCUCCACGUGCGCAUAGAGGAGCCCUCAGGAAAGACAGCAAUCUUCAGAGGAGAGUGGCCAGGACACUUGGCAGUAGUGUAGGAUACGCUGCAGCACAGUGGCUUCAAUGUGGGAGGAGGCAAGGAGCAGGUCUGUGACCAAGCACUGGGUCUUGGGAUGGCUGCUUCCCGUCCUCCACACAUGCUUGUGUCUGUGACGGGCUGUCUGAGGGACUCUAGCCGGGCAGCCGUCCACCCACUGCUCAGCCUGGAGGGGUCCUCUGAGCAAAGCCUUCUUGCCCCACUUAUCCUUGUGCUAAAAUUACAAUCCGCCCCAGUCAAAUGAUGCUCACAGAGAGCAACAGAGAGCCGGCCAAGAGGAAAUUUUUCUACCUAAUCUCAACUUUUCUUUCUUUCUUUCUUUUUUUUUUUUUUUGAGGAAGCUUAGCCCUGAGCUAACAUCCGCUGCCAAUCCUCCUCUUUUUGCUAAGGAAGAUUGGCCCUCAGCUAAUAUCCAUGCCCAUCUUCCUCUACUUUACAUGUGGGACGCCUGCCACAGCAUGGCUUGACAAGUGGUGCCGUGUCCACACCCAGGAUCCAAACCGGCGAAUCCCUGGCCACUGAAGCAGAGGGAGCAAACAUAAUCGCUGCACCACUGGGCCGGCCCGUCAACUUUUCUUUUUUAUUAGCUGGUUUGUAAAUAGGCCCAACUUCAGAGGUCUCGCUGGGCUGGGCCGGGUUGUUUACAGGGUCAAGGAAUCAUUCAUGCUGUUACUUCUUUUUUUAAUUUAAUCAGAUUUUUCAAUCUUUCCAAUAGCAUCUGGACAAUCUUUCAAUUCUUGUCUGGUGAUAAUGAAAUCAUUAAAAAAUGUACCAGAACCCCUUUUGCUUAUCUCUGUGCCAUUUGGAACAUAUGUGCAUAAAUUGAACACCACUUGCUCGCUGGUUUUCUUUCUGUUCUCUCUCCCCUUGUUCUUAAAAUCCCCGUUUGAAUUCAGUCACCGAAAGAGCCGGGUAUCUGAGUCAAGUAUGAUGCCGGGAGGUGCGCCUCCGAGUCCUCCACAUGGCUCCCAUCUAGGCGGCAAGCCACACUCUACUCAGCACAUUUUUUGGCUUAAGUGACCUAGAGUCUGGGGUCUUUUUUUGGUGAAGAUUUUCUUUAGCUUCCCAGUUGAUCUUAUAGCAAUAAUAGCCACCCUAGUUUGGGCAUUUCACAAAUAGCUCAUAGAUGACCGUGGGGAAUCCAACUGUGCUUUUGGGACUAGCAGCUAAACUAUCUUAGCACUCUUGACAUACAUCAAAGAACACGCCCUUUCUUGGAAACCACGUUGCCAGCCUUUUCCAGCCACGGGGCCCGUGCAAGCAAGAAGAGAGCAAUUCCGGCUGGUCCCAAGAGAGGCCUCCCUGGAAGAGAUGCGAAAGACUUUUCCAGAAGGAGCUUGCUCCAAAGCAUAAAAGGUUCAGCCUCCAGCCGAUGAUUCAAAAAAAGUUUUUAAAGCCUUUUUACGGAAACAAUUUAAAGCCAGCUGCACUGAUCGAUCAGUGAUUUGAUUUUGCUUUGUUAGGAGGGAUUUGUAAUGUGCUUUUAAAUGUUUUUGUUCCUGGCCUUCAUUGAUAGCAAGUUCUGCCUGAGGCUACUUCUCAAAACUCGUCACUGGAGCUUUCAAGUCUGUGAAUAACGAGAAUAAUUUUAAUCCGGACCUCUCUCCCCUCCUUUCUCUCUAUACGCAGAAGGAAUUGUUGGGGGGAGGGGUGUCAGAAUUGUUCAUCAAAUUCUGCCAAAUGUAAAACCUAUAAAAAGGAGUUAUUUGUCUUUAAAAGAAAAGGGAGAGCAAGGGAGAAAAUUCUAUUUACAAAGUCAGAGAGAGUCAAGUGGAUUUCAUGUUCUCAAGUACGUUCAGUUUGUGUCAGAAAGUGUCCAGCUCUUCAAGGCUUGUCUGCCUGGUGCCCGCUGCAAUUAAAAACUAAAGUCCAAAAAAUACCCAAAUCAUAGCAGAACACGCUAUUUUUAUAAUAAAUAGAUUUUAUAGAAACUUUUUAAUUAAUAGCUUUUAAAGUUUGUUAUUGCGCGUUUAAUGGCAUUGUGAACUAUCAAAUUUAUGUUCUCUAAACUACCACAAAAUAGUGGUUGUUCUAUUAUUACGGUCUGAAAUUAUAGUCUAAAAUAAUAUAGGCUUUACUAUAGAAACUGUGCUCCUAAUUUAAUCACUUCUGAUAUCUCCUAGGCUUAUAGAAACCCGGCCUUUGAUUUUUUUAAUGACAUGCACACGCAUGUUAUUUUUUAUAAUGUAAGCAUAUGCUUACACAUGUAUGAUCUUUGUGAGUUUAUUCAGCGAGAAACCAAAUAUGUGAGGAAAACAGACUUUUGAAGUGGCACCUUAAUUGUCUGUCAUGCAUGUUCCACAGAUCAUUACUGAAUGUUUACAGGUCCUGCGUGGGGUGACUUUACACCAAAGGAGAAGGUAACAUAUCUUCAUUGUUUAUAAAAAAGACAGCUCCUAAUGGACCAUAUUAGCUUUAACACAAACUAUUAAAUCCCCUUCAUUAAAUUUCUCUGUGUUCAGUCUCAGCAUCUCGUUAGCUCUGGGAAGUAGGUGCAAACUCCGAAGGGAAGCUGAGCACACAUUGAGACGAUUAGAGACCACGGUUAUUAGAUAAGCCUCGGAGGAUGUUUUUCUUGGGCGGCUCACAAGCAUUUUGAAAGAGUUGUGUUCCAGGUUUGAGGUCCCGUGUUUCUUCCUCUUAAACCACGAGCAGCUGCAGCACAUGCCCCACUUCUGCCGGCCCUGUAAUGAUUUCCUUCCUUCGGAGGCUUCGGGAGUCCUCCUUCUGCCCUGUGAAAAAAGGGACAAAUAUUUUAAUCCAAGCAAAAUGCUGAAGCAGGUUUUGUUGGUUUCAGGGAAGAAACUCAAUACAGCUCCAGCGCUGAGUGUAGGCCUCAAAUUGGAACCAUCUGGGCUGCAGAAGGGCUCCGAGACCUUUGGGCAAGGCAGGGACAGGCUUGCCUAGGGCUGCAGCCCAUCCACCUGCAGAGACGCCGUCGUCUGGGCAGGCGGCUGGACUCCCCCCAGGAUCGGAGCCUCUCACCCAGCAGAGAGCCCGCACGGCCUGGCACUGGCGGUUCGGAAUGUCAAGAUGCUUCAAGCUCCUGCCUACGCACCCAGCUGCACCCAGAGACAUCUUCCUCCCUCCCACCUCGCCAGCCGGCACCACCGUUCAGCCACAGGGUCAGACUUAAUGGAGCUGAGCACACUUCCUAUCAAGCUUCCUGUGGAAAGCCAGUCAGCUGAGACUGAGAAAGGCCGCCACACGCUCGAAGUCCCUGGAAAUCAAACGGGGAGCUGGGCACGGGGGCAGUGGCCCUUUCAGGCUAUUGCUUUGAUACUUUUGAUAUGGGCUUAGGUUUCUCUAGAAGACUCUGGCACUGCCUCCUCCAUGUAGCUCUGAGAGAACAUCCAUGCCCCUUGUCUGGGACAAGGGGCCUAGGCAACUCCGAUGAGUUGUGAAUUUCUGAAAAGUACCAACGCCUAGACUCAGGAAAUUAAGAAAUUCUGCCAUGUGUCUUCAUUAGUAUUUUUCAGUGCAGGAUUUGAUAUCAUCAACUUAGCCCCUAAAUUAAAGCAAUGAAUAUAACAGUCACAAUGCAAUAAAGUCAAUGUUAUGAUAGUUUUAUUUGAAAUGUACUGUUCUCUACAAGUGGGAACUAAUCGAUAUAAAUAUAUUACACAUACAUUAUUUGAGAGAAAGCCCACCGCCUUCUUAGGAAAAGUGAACAGCCGAGAGUGGGCAAUUUCAGACUGAUUUAUGAACUGAGAAAAUCCUUCUGUUUUUUUUUUUAAUUUUUUUUUUUUUUGCCUAAAAUGGUCAGGAGGUGAUGAAGACUGACUUCCCAGCCCUUCACUGCCAAAUCUUAACUUUCUGAAAACUUACAGAAAUGCUUGAUUAAAACUAGAAUAAAAAUCUCCAGUUGCCUUCAGCAAACCACAGCACAAGGGUGGGAAAAACAGUGCCAGGUUGCAGUUUAAGCAUAGUUACUUGGCGCCUGCUGAAAGCACUGCUCCCUUCCUGUUUAAUAAUUAAUUCAACUUUAAAGCCCCAAGGAUCUGGACUCGGCACCAGCUUCACAAAGCAGUACAGAAACAAAAUGCUUCCAGAACCGGAGGGGGGACGGAGGAAGAAAGAAUCUAACAUUUCAAGAAACAUCACCACAUGGGGCCGGUAUGAGGAAGAACUUUUCCAGAACGACUGCAAGCAGACCCACCUGCAGCCACACAAUCCAGUAUCAAACUGCAUGGAGUGUGUUGUUGCAUUCCAGGAAACCUAAGCACCCCAAAGCCUGGCAAAGAGAUGGUGCGGACCAGCAACAAACGGAUUAAUUACACGAAAUGAAGGCCCGGGCGGCCGGAGAAAAGAGGAAAGCUAUUUAAACAUCAAAUGUAUUUACUUUUCGCUUAUUAUUAUUAUAGAGGAGGCAUGGCAUGGAGCACUCACAUACAUCCUCUGAGACCGUCGUAGGGUAUUUCGAAAAAGACAUUCAAGUAAUUAAAUGGUUGAGUUGAACAAAUAAUGACCUGAAUACUUUUCCCAAUCCCUAAAAAGAGAUGUUUUUAACACUCUAUGAUUGUCAAAACUAUAUGGAUUUUCUUUAUAUGUCACUUAAUACAUAAAUUAGUUAUAAACGUUUAAAUCACACCUCCUUCAUAUCUUUUUCUCCCAUGUCAGACUGAUGGCAUUGCCUUGAAAAUGCAGCAGCCGUCUUUCAAAAAUAAGCUUUGUAUUCUUCUCGACUGAGUCCACAAAACUGCCAAAUGCAAGUCUGAAACUAGUUUCCAGUUAUUAAACAGUUUCAAAACCAGAAGACAUUUGCGGGAGGCAGGGUGUGUUAGCGGAAAGAACACUGGACUACGAGACAAGCCAGCCCCGGGGCUGGUCCACCCACUAACUGUAAACCGGGCGAGUCGCACUCAGGCGCAGCGCGCGCACCGGUUCCCACCGCAGCAGACGAGGCCCCCGCAACCCCUCUCAGCGCACCAAGUGUUCGCUGUGUACAGUGCGCCCCGAAAGCCGUUCUCUGAGGGGCCGGGGCCCACAUCGACACCCAGAGCCCGUGCUAGAUGGGUCUGGACUGUGGUGAGUGCUGUCUCAGAGCCACGAGUGAAACAGACCAGAGGACGCCGAGGCCCACGCAGCUCGCAGACCUCUGACUCCCCGGGAUCAUGGAGGCCCGACCUCUGGUUAGCGGUCCAGGCACCGACCCCGCUCACUAAAUGUUGGCUCGGCCUGGGCUUUAUGGAAACCCGGGGGAUCGGCGGUGUUAGGCUUGCAAGGUACCACCUGUGGAUAUAAAUGUGCCCUAGAAAAGGAAAAAAUGUGACCCCCUGAUUAGAAGAGAGGACAUCAAGCUUGAGUCUCUGGUAACCAACGUAUUUCCUAGUGCUUUCUAUUCAAAACUUACCCACACGAGCUUAAAAUAUUUUGUCAGAAAACUGACACCUGGGCCCCUUGAACACCUUACCCUGAUCACCUUUGGCACCAUGGCCAUGUCACCCUGCCACAGUGCGAGAGAUUGGGCUCCGGGUUUAAUUUCUAUUGUUAAAUGUCCUACCUCAGUAUGGGUAGAUGUCUAUUCGGGUCCCUUUCACACUUUUCUCUUCUGGGCUCUUUUAGACUCUCACCUUGGGCUUUGCUAAGUAUCCCAGUCCAUUUGAACAGCACACAAUUUCGUCAGCUAUUGGUCACCACAUUGCUUGAGCAUGAAGCUUUCAAAGGAAAUUACAGUGAAAAAAAUAAGAUCUGGUAUUGGUUAUUAACUCCACCUCAGGGUGACUUCUCUUCAGGGGCAAUUAAAUAGCAGCUCUGCGCUGUUAAGUUUAGUGGCUUUACUCGUAGGUGGCACAUCUUCUUCAAGGACAACUUGGGCUCAGAUCUGCUUUGAUUUGACAUGAUGAAGCUGAGGCUGCCUCUGCAAAACCAGAUUUCAUUUGAAAUUCUAGGUGUGACCACAUAUCUGUGAGCUGACCUUUCUUUAAGAAGCAAGUUUUGCAUUACCAGGUAAAUGCCCUUUCCGGGGAAUUCUCAUGGAACACUGGUGACAUCCUGUGGUCAGUUGGGUUUAAGGCAGCCGGCCUUCUCAGCAACUAUCUCAGGGAAUAAAGAAGUAAAUGCCCCACAUCAAUCCUACUUGGUUUUGCCAAACCAAAAAGAAAAAAGAAGUACAUUCUUAUUUCUAAUCAUUUUUACAAUAUGAACAGCUCCCUUUUGGAGCAACGCAAUUUUUCGGUGAAUGCGGACAAAGCACAUUCUGGUAGUGAGUAUUUUGGUAAGGAGAGAUAGUUCAUGGAAGCGAGAUACAGCUUCAUCAAAGCAGAGGACGGGUGCCAUGAUGUCGGGCCUCGCUCCGCGAUGGUACCUGGUUCUCACCAUCUGCUUGGUACGUCCUCUGUACCUUGGCUUCACGUCUACUCCUUGCAGGAGACAGCCUUCUGCAAAAGGGCACACAGCGUGGCUUAAAGGGAAAACAGUGGGUAUUUUGGCAUUUUUACACCAGUGACAGUAAAUUGAAGCCAUUUAGUUGUAAAUGUGAUAUUACACUUGACGGUUUCCCCUGGCAAAGCGCUGAGCGGCCCAGAUUGAAUGGAGCCAAAGAGAUGGAACCGGGAGAGCAAAGCCAGUCGCCAGAGUAGCCGACCAAAGGGGCUCGUAAAAGCAUUUGUCAGUCGUUUAGAAUCAUAACUCAGCUCCACACUCGUGGUACCAGGAGCAACGGGCUCGGUUUCAGCUGUAGAGAGCAGGCAAUGGAGUUUAUGUUGUUCUUCUGUUUAUUAAAAACGGAUGGGAGCACUUGACAGAAAAAUCAAACUUCUGGUCAUGGCUCAUUAAUCCCUGUUGUAUCUGUCAGGGGGAUGUGCGUGGAGUUCCAACAAGCCCCUGGAAGUCGAGCACAGCCGAGCCUCGGUGCUUUCUCUAAUUUUGAAUGGAAAAAGAGAUGCCAAUCACCUUGAAGGGGAGAGAAGAGGAGGUUAUUCUUAACCCACCUACUUUGGACAUUAAAUGGCCCAGGCCCAGCGUGACCUAAAGAAGGAGAUGCAUGUAGGAAUGGGGGAAGCCUGCAAUGAAUCGAGGCUCCCGAAACAUAAAGCCACAGGAUAGAAAGGUACUGUGGCACUGUUUGGUGGAACCAAACCCUUUAGGGGAUGGACAUGAGAGUGUGG